RNAcentral lists this ribosomal RNA (1323 nucleotides) under Pseudomonas aeruginosa. RNAcentral's name for it is "bacterial LSU rRNA". It matches the Rfam family "Bacterial large subunit ribosomal RNA", at positions 1636 to 2925 of the family's 2925-position model. Lineage: Bacteria; Pseudomonadati; Pseudomonadota; Gammaproteobacteria; Pseudomonadales; Pseudomonadaceae. The record is from RNAcentral.
CAGGAACCGUACCCCAAACCGACACAGGUGGUCGGGUAGAGAAUACCAAGGCGCUUGAGAGAACUCGGGUGAAGGAACUAGGCAAAAUGGCACCGUAACUUCGGGAGAAGGUGCGCCGGCUAGGGUGAAGGAUUUACUCCGUAAGCUCUGGCUGGUCGAAGAUACCAGGCCGCUGCGACUGUUUAUUAAAAACACAGCACUCUGCAAACACGAAAGUGGACGUAUAGGGUGUGACGCCUGCCCGGUGCCGGAAGGUUAAUUGAUGGGGUUAGCGCAAGCGAAGCUCUUGAUCGAAGCCCCGGUAAACGGCGGCCGUAACUAUAACGGUCCUAAGGUAGCGAAAUUCCUUGUCGGGUAAGUUCCGACCUGCACGAAUGGCGUAACGAUGGCGGCGCUGUCUCCACCCGAGACUCAGUGAAAUUGAAAUCGCUGUGAAGAUGCAGUGUAUCCGCGGCUAGACGGAAAGACCCCGUGAACCUUUACUGUAGCUUUGCACUGGACUUUGAGCCUGCUUGUGUAGGAUAGGUGGGAGGCUUUGAAGCGUGGACGCCAGUUCGCGUGGAGCCAUCCUUGAAAUACCACCCUGGCAUGCUUGAGGUUCUAACUCUGGUCCGUGAUCCGGAUCGAGGACAGUGUAUGGUGGGCAGUUUGACUGGGGCGGUCUCCUCCUAAAGAGUAACGGAGGAGUACGAAGGUGCGCUCAGACCGGUCGGAAAUCGGUCGCAGAGUAUAAAGGCAAAAGCGCGCUUGACUGCGAGACAGACACGUCGAGCAGGUACGAAAGUAGGUCUUAGUGAUCCGGUGGUUCUGUAUGGAAGGGCCAUCGCUCAACGGAUAAAAGGUACUCCGGGGAUAACAGGCUGAUACCGCCCAAGAGUUCAUAUCGACGGCGGUGUUUGGCACCUCGAUGUCGGCUCAUCACAUCCUGGGGCUGAAGCCGGUCCCAAGGGUAUGGCUGUUCGCCAUUUAAAGUGGUACGCGAGCUGGGUUUAGAACGUCGUGAGACAGUUCGGUCCCUAUCUGCCGUGGACGUUUGAGAUUUGAGAGGGGCUGCUCCUAGUACGAGAGGACCGGAGUGGACGAACCUCUGGUGUUCCGGUUGUCACGCCAGUGGCAUUGCCGGGUAGCUAUGUUCGGAAAAGAUAACCGCUGAAAGCAUCUAAGCGGGAAACUUGCCUCAAGAUGAGAUCUCACUGGGAACUUGAUUCCCCUGAAGGGCCGUCGAAGACUACGACGUUGAUAGGCUGGGUGUGUAAGCGUUGUGAGGCGUUGAGCUAACCAGUACUAAUUGCCCGUGAGGCUUGACCAUAUAACACCCAAACA